UCCCUGGGUGGGCGCAGCGGCUUCCUGGGUCCCCCUCACGCUCUGGGUCAGAGUUCCUUUACAGGCGGACCUGAGAGGCAACUCACCGACUCCUGCCCUGGACCCUCCUGCGCCACUGAACCCCCUGACCUGGGAGCCUCGGAACCUAGGGCUCAGGAGAUGAACCAGGACUUAUCCGAAGGUACCAAGUGAACUUCUAGGAAAAGUCCAAUUCUCAGAUGCUGGAUGUCUUCCAAAAAUGAAGCAAAUUAGUAACUUAGUAGCUGAGUCAACUAAUCCUGUUAGAUGGUCAACACUGGUUUUUUUAUUUUAAUAUUUUUAAGUGGCAACUCUAGUGUGUGAGAAAAUUAAUGUGACAGCUGAAUUUGUAGAAAGCUGCUUUGACUCUCUUGGGCCCCUUCAUAAGCCCUGGAACUAAAUAAAAGUCUAGUGAAUACAGCCCCGCCACCCUCAAGCCACACCCCAUUGAUCAUUUGCUAAAGAUUUUAGUACCUGGCUCUGGCCUGCUUUCCACCGUCAACACUCACAUCAAGGCACCUGGAUCUCUUCUCCGCCGGCAAUCCUGCCUUCCGCCUUCAGGGCAACUCCUUCCAAAUCCCUGGGCUGCUGUGUAUGACUGCUGGGGUGAACGUCGCCAUGUACUCUACCCCUUACUGUGCUAUCGUUCAGAGCUGGGCUGGUGGUGCAUGCCUGUAGUUCCAGCUACUCAGGAGUCUGAGGUGGGAGGAUUACCUGAGCCCAGGAAGUCAAGGCUGCAGUGAGCCAUGAUCCUGCCACUGCACUCCAGCCUGGGUAAUAAAAACCAGCCUGUUUCAAAAACCCAAACAAAUAACAAACAAAAAAAAUGCAAAAUGAAGAAAGAGUCGUCUCAGGAGCACGUUCCUCUGUGUGUGUGAGGAAAUGUUACAUAUAUAGUAUAUGUAGAGCGACAGAGACUCACAGAGAGAGAGAACGAGUCUAAAG
RNAcentral lists this long non-coding RNA (963 nucleotides) under Homo sapiens (human). Its description in RNAcentral is "HSALNT0396752". Lineage: Eukaryota; Metazoa; Chordata; Mammalia; Primates; Hominidae. The record is from RNAcentral.